GCUCGUCUAAAGCCCAAAAACUAACCCAAAUACCACACUACACACACCCAAACCAUUUUGCUCCGAUAGUAGAUGCGAUCGAACCCGCCCAUUGACGCAAUAGAAAAGUACUGUGAAGGAAAAAUGAAAGAAGUGAAACCCUAAGCCCAGCAGAGCAGGGCUGGACCCCCGUACCUUUUGCAUCAUGAUUUAGCAAGCACACCAAGACAAAAUGAUCUAUAGCCUUUCCCCCGAAAACAAGUGAUCUACUUCUUGGCAGUUUUAUGAGCGAACUCGUCUCUGUGGCAAUAGAGUGAGAAGACCCAGAAGUAGCGGCCAAAAACCAAACGAACUUGUUGAUAGCUGGUUAUCUGACAGCGAAUUUUAGUUCACACCCAACAACAACCACAACUUUAUGUCUUACCCUUAUGUUGGAACAUAGUCCACGGGGGCACAGCUCCGUGGACACCGGAUACAGCCAAAAGUAGAGAAAACCAGCCUAAACUAAUACUCGUAGGCCUUAAAACAGCCACCAUUAAAUAUCACGUCACAGUAAUCUAAGGAAAAAUACCAUUAAAAUCAAAUACUUCCUACUCUUUUUCCCCCCAGAUAAUUCUACACCCAUGUAGAAGAACCGAUGCUAGAAUUAGUAAUUAGAACCUAUCUAACGACAGAAUUGUUUUUACACCCAGACCAACUAACACCGACAAAACCUACACACCACACCAAAAACACUGUAUACCCAACAACGGGCUGUCCACCAAUCGGCAUAAAAUCCUAAAAGGAACUCGGCAACCCCCUUCUCCAACUGUUUACCAAAAACAUAGCUUCUAGCCAAACAUGUAUUAGAAGUCACGCCUGCCCUGUGGAACCAUCUAAACGGCCGCGGCACAAAACCGUGCAAAGGUAGCACAAUCACUUGUCCCUUAAAUGAGGACCCGUAUGAAAGGCACCAUGAGAGAAGACCUGUCUCCUAGGAGCCGCCAACGAAAUUGAACGAUCAGUACAAAAGCUGAUAUGAAAAAGCAAGACAAAAAGACCCCGUGGAACUUUAACAAAUUACUUACACAAAUAAAUAAUAGUUUCAGUUGGGACAACUUUAGAAAAAAUUAACCUCAUCAAACACUCAGACCCACAAGUCUCUUUCCCCGAUCCAGUAACACUGAUUAACGAAAUAAGCUACCCCGGGGAUAACAGCGCCACCUUCUCAAAGAGUCCAUAUCAACAAGAAGAUCUACGACCUCGAUGUUGGAUCAGGGUACCCCGACGGUGCAGUAGCUGUCAACGGUUCGUUUGUUCAACGACUAACACCCUACGCGAUCUGAGUUCAGACCGGAGUAAUCCAGGUCGGCCUUUAUCUGCUACAAGCUUUCAUCAGUACGAAAGGACCAUCAAAGCAAGACUAAUGCCACAGGCACAUCUUCUGAAAAUAGUGAACAAAACUCAAACUAAAACAACACCUCUUUACCCUCAAGUUAAGAGCGCACCAGCCUAGCUGGUGCCAA
RNAcentral lists this ribosomal RNA (1484 nucleotides) under Rieppeleon kerstenii. RNAcentral's name for it is "16S rRNA". It matches the Rfam family "Bacterial large subunit ribosomal RNA". The record is from RNAcentral. Lineage: Eukaryota; Metazoa; Chordata; Lepidosauria; Squamata; Chamaeleonidae.